UGGAACUUGGGGCACUAGACUACUGAGUCACAUCCCCAUCCCUAUUUUGCAUUUUAUUUAGAGACAGGGUCUCACUGAGUGGCUUAGCCUCAGCCUCCUGAGCCACUGGGAUUACAGGCGUGUGCCACCACGCCCUGCAAAAUUAGACAUUUUUAGACAAGUAACGUGUGAAAAAUGACCUCCCAUGUACCCUUUCUCAGAAAGCUGCUGGUGGAUGUAUGUCACCAAAAAGAGGGAAAGAACCAGAUUACACACUUAAUGGAGGUAACUGAGAAGAGCUUAACGGAGGGAUUUUUACAGAGCUGUGGACUACUUGGAGGGGUUAAGGAAAGCAACAAGGAGCAGUGUAGCAUUCUGGGCCUGCGAACACCCUAGGCCUCAACAGUCCGGGAGAUAGACAGAGCUAGGUGAAGAGGGUGGCCUGGUAGAAGCCCUGCUUUAGAUAGAGGGAGGGAGUUGGGGGAAUCAGUGCCCCAACUUGACUCUCUUCCUCCCUCCUUCCUUGGCUGAACCCAACCAAAGACCAAAAAGAACAGUGAUAAUAUGAACCCCGAGAGAAAGCACAGAGCAGAAUCAAAGGAAAGAGCAAGGGGCAUGAAGGCCAAGGGAUUUCUGCGCCAGAAGCUGGAAUUAAAGUCCUAGAAGACCAUGUAGCAGAUUGGAACAAGACACUGGAGAACUACAGGGUGGAUAUCUUAAAAUUUGAUAAAAGAAACCAACUUAGUUACUUUAUGUGCUUAAUGAUCUUAAAGGAUAUUGAUCAUUCUUUCUAAGAUUGAGGAAAAUAAUUUGUCAUAGUUGUAGAGCAAACUAAGCAAAGAAACUAGGCUACUAUUAAGUGAAUAUUAAGUGAAGAAAAAUUAAAAGUAGAACCAGGAAGAAAAAAAAAACAGUCUUUAUACUUAGUUCAACUCUGAAUACUGUGCAUGUAAAAGUUAUAAGAGAUAUUGAGUGUUCAUUUAAUA
RNAcentral lists this long non-coding RNA (965 nucleotides) under Marmota monax (woodchuck). Lineage: Eukaryota; Metazoa; Chordata; Mammalia; Rodentia; Sciuridae. The record is from RNAcentral.